GACGAACGCUGGCGGCGUGCUUAACACAUGCAAGUCGAGCGGAAAGGCCCUGCUUGCCGGGUACUCGAGUGGCGAACGGGUGAGUAACACGUGGGUGAUCUGCCCUGCACUUCGGGAUAAGCCUGGGAAACUGGGUCUAAUACCGGAUAGGAGCCAUUUUUAGUGUGGUGGUUGGAAAGUUUUUUCGGUGUAGGAUGAGCUCGCGGCCUAUCAGCUUGUUGGUGGGGUAAUGGCCUACCAAGGCGGCGACGGGUAGCCGGCCUGGGAGGGUGGACGGCCACAUUGGGACUGAGAGACGGCCCAGACGCCGACGGGAGGCAGCAGUGGGGAAUAUUGCACAAUGGGCGCAAGCCUGAUGCAGCGACGCCGCGGGGGGGAUGACGGCCUUCGGGUUGUAAACGCCUUUCGCUAGGGACGAAGCUUUUUGUGACGGUACCUAGAUAAGAAGCACCGGCUAACUACGUG
This 465-nucleotide ribosomal RNA is filed under the name uncultured bacterium. RNAcentral describes it as "partial 16S ribosomal RNA". It matches the Rfam family "Bacterial small subunit ribosomal RNA", at positions 28 to 507 of the family's 1533-position model. The record is from RNAcentral.